RNAcentral lists this long non-coding RNA (636 nucleotides) under Monodelphis domestica (gray short-tailed opossum). RNAcentral describes it as "lncRNA (ENSMODG00000040782.1)". Lineage: Eukaryota; Metazoa; Chordata; Mammalia; Didelphimorphia; Didelphidae. The record is from RNAcentral.
GCCCUGGAGAGGUCAUCUAAUCCUCCACUACCACCACCACCCUUGACACCCCACACCCACACCCACACAUUCAAACAAUUCCCUGUUUUCCUUCAGAGAGGCCAGAGGCAUUUGUUCUCUGAACAGAAGAGUAUUAAGCAAGCCUUGGGGGUGAGCUUCAUUAAAGUUCUGUGAUGACAGUUGAAAAGGAAUGUUCUAUUUCUCCCCAAAGGGCUGGAGAAAUAAGAAAAGAUGAUGUGCAUUGAAAUGGUGCCCAGCUGCACUGAAGCCAGUAACCGUGCAAUCGAGAGGUUGUGCAAGCACAGCAGAUUAUAAGGAUCCAAGGUAUCCAGUGCCUGCCUUACCCAUUCCCUCCCAUUCCCUCCAAAGCUCUGGCCAUCCAACCCAUGCCACAGAGCACCACUGCAGGUCUUGGAUCAAAGACUCUUGGGCAGGUGUCUAGGGACCAACUGUACCAAUGUACUCCCUGCCACCACCUUCUCAAUCAAACAUGCUCCCACUAAAGAAUCUAGGAGAAACUCAUUCAUAGCAGAAGAUAUAAGGACUGAUGAGUUUAAGGUAUUACCAGUUUAUCCUUACCAAGGGCAAAACCAUUUUUUGGCAUAAGCCAAAGGAAUAAAACCAUUUGUGGAACCA